RNAcentral lists this ribosomal RNA (843 nucleotides) under Klebsiella pneumoniae. RNAcentral describes it as "partial 23S ribosomal RNA". It matches the Rfam family "Bacterial large subunit ribosomal RNA", at positions 1 to 888 of the family's 2925-position model. The record is from RNAcentral. Lineage: Bacteria; Pseudomonadati; Pseudomonadota; Gammaproteobacteria; Enterobacterales; Enterobacteriaceae.
GGUUAAGCGACUAAGCGUACACGGUGGAUGCCCUGGCAGUCAGAGGCGAUGAAGGACGUGCUAAUCUGCGAAAAGCGUCGGUAAGGUGAUAUGAACCGUUAUAGCCGGCGAUGUCCGAAUGGGGAAACCCAGUGUGAUUCGUCACACUAUCGUUAACUGAAUACAUAGGUUAACGAGGCGAACCGGGGGAACUGAAACAUCUAAGUACCCCGAGGAAAAGAAAUCAACCGAGAUUCCCCCAGUAGCGGCGAGCGAACGGGGAGCAGCCCAGAGUCUGAAUCAGCUUGUGUGUUAGUGGAACGGUCUGGAAAGUCCGACGGUACAGGGUGAUAGUCCCGUACACCAAAAUGCACAGGCUGUGAACUCGAAGAGUAGGGCGGGACACGUGGUAUCCUGUCUGAAUAUGGGGGGACCAUCCUCCAAGGCUAAAUACUCCUGACUGACCGAUAGUGAACCAGUACCGUGAGGGAAAGGCGAAAAGAACCCCGGCGAGGGGAGUGAAAAAGAACCUGAAACCGUGUACGUACAAGCAGUGGGAGCACCUUCGGGUGUGACUGCGUACCUUUUGUAUAAUGGGUCAGCGACUUAUAUUCUGUAGCAAGGUUAACCGUAUAGGGGAGCCGCAGGGAAACCGAGUCUUAACUGGGCGUUAAGUUGCAGGGUAUAGACCCGAAACCCGGUGAUCUAGCCAUGGGCAGGUUGAAGGUUGGGUAACACUAACUGGAGGACCGAACCGACUAAUGUUGAAAAAUUAGCGGAUGACUUGUGGCUGGGGGUGAAAGGCCAAUCAAACCGGGAGAUAGCUGGUUCUCCCCGAAAGCUAUUUAGGUAGCGCCUCGUGAA